GCAUAUCAAUAAGCGGAGGAAAAGAAACUAACAAGGAUUCCCCUAGUAACGGCGAGUGAAGAGGGAAAAGCCCAAAUUUGUAAUCUGGCUCUUUUAUAAGGGUCCGAGUUGUAAUUUUGAGAACUGUUUUCUGUGCUGGACCAUGUACAAGUCUGUUGAAAAACAGCAUCAUUGAGGGUGAUAAUCCCGUAUGUGAUAUGGACUACCAGGGCAAUAUGAUACAGUCUCUAAGAGUCGAGUUGUUUGGGAAUGCAGCUCAAAGUGGGUGGUAAAUUCCAUCUAAGGCUAAAUAUAGGUGAGAGACCGAUAGCAAACAAGUACCGUGAGGGAAAGAUGAAAAGAACUUUGGAAAGAGAGUUAACAGUACGUGAAAUUGUUAAAAGGGAAACAUUUGAAGUUAGACUUGUUAUUGUUGGUUCAGCUUCUUUAUUGAGGUGUAUUCUGAUGAUUAACAGACCAGCAUCAAUUUUUGGGUGUUGGAUAAGGGUUUUGGGAAUGUGGCAGCUUCGGUUGUGUUAUAGACCAUUACUUUGAUACAAUGCUUAGGAUUGAGGAACGCAGUAAGCUUUGUUGCAGAUUUUUUCGGAAGUCUCCUUACUACGGAUGUUGGUGCAAUAGCUUUAAAUGACCCGUCUUGAAACACGGACC
RNAcentral lists this ribosomal RNA (648 nucleotides) under Thekopsora rubiae. RNAcentral's name for it is "eukaryotic LSU rRNA". It matches the Rfam family "Eukaryotic large subunit ribosomal RNA", at positions 38 to 667 of the family's 3401-position model. The record is from RNAcentral. Lineage: Eukaryota; Fungi; Basidiomycota; Pucciniomycetes; Pucciniales; Coleosporiaceae.